CCUACGGGAGGCAGCAGUGAGGAAUAUUGGUCAAUGGUCGGGAGACUGAACCAGCCAAGCCGCGUGAGGGAGGAAGGUACAGAGUAUCGUAAACCUCUUUUGUCAGGGAACAAAGGCGGGGACGUGUCCCCGGAUGAGUGUACCUGAAGAAAAAGCAUCGGCUAACUCCGUGCCAGCAGCCGCGGUAAUACGGAGGAUGCGAGCGUUAUCCGGAUUUAUUGGGUUUAAGGGGUGCGCAGGCGGUCUGUUAAGUCAGCGGGCAAAGCCCGGGGCUCAACCCCGGCCCGCCGUUGAAACUGGCAGUCUCGAGUUGGAGAGAAGUAUGCGGAAUGCGCGGUGUAGCGGUGAAAUGCAUAGAUAUCGCGCAGAACUCCGAUUGCGAAGGCAGCAUGCCGGCUCCACACUGACGCUGAGGCACGAAAGCGUGGGUAUCGAACAGGAUUAGAUACCCUGGUAGUC
This 459-nucleotide ribosomal RNA is filed under the name uncultured bacterium. Its description in RNAcentral is "partial 16S ribosomal RNA". It matches the Rfam family "Bacterial small subunit ribosomal RNA", at positions 338 to 795 of the family's 1533-position model. The record is from RNAcentral.